Molecule: ribosomal RNA, 270 nt
Filed under: uncultured archaeon
Lineage: Archaea
Description: partial 16S ribosomal RNA
Rfam family: Archaeal small subunit ribosomal RNA
Source: RNAcentral
CAGCACCUCAAGUGGUCAGGAUGAUUAUUGGGCCUAAAGCAUCCGUAGCCGGCUCUGUAAGUUUUCGGUUAAAUCUGUACGCUCAACGUACAGGCUGCCGGGAAUACUGCAGAGCUAAGGAGUGGGAGAGGUAGACGGUACUCGGUAGGAAGGGGUAAAAUCCUUUGAUCUAUUGAUGACCACCUGUGGCGAAGGCGGUCUACCAGAACACGUCCGACGGUGAGGGAUGAAAGCUGGGGGAGCAAACCGGAUUAGAUACCCGAGUAGUCC